AAUAAGGACUGGAGCAAAGAAGAAGGAUGCCGCAAUUGCCUGUCUUUAAUUUGUCUUAGAUUCCAGGAAAACCAAGGUCUCCUCCUUUGGUAAACAUUUGAGUUAUAAUUUUUGGUUCUUGAAAAGUAAGAUUGUAAAUCCUUCUUCCACCUCUAGGUGUUUGUGUAAAUCCUUCUUCCACCUCUAGGUGUUUGUGUAAAUCCUUCUUCCACCUCUAGGUGUUUGUGUAAAUCCUUCUUCCACCUCUAGGUGUUUGUUUGAUUGAAUUCAACUCUUUUACUUAGAAAACAUGAAAAUCAUUAGUAUGAAAUUUGAUAGGAAACAAGCAUAAUUUUCAAAAACAAAAAAUUAAAUGGUUGUCAAAUAGAGCCUAAGAUUUUAAAAAAGCUUUAACUCUUAAGCCAGCCCAUAAUUUGUAGAAUUGAAAUUUUGUAUAUAAAUAUUUAAGCUGUAUAAAUAUAUAAAUAUUUAACAAAACUUCUGGCAUUGCCUCUUUGCCAGAAACUAAAAGCUUUCCAAAAACAGGUAAAAAGAUAUUGAUCAGAGAAGGCUUCGGUGUUAUUUUGAUGAGAGACUAAAGGUUGCAGUUUUUUCCAUCUCUAUGGAUAAAGGAUACUCGAUCUGUACAAUUUAUUGCUUCUUCCUUUUUCUAUUGAAAGUAAACUUUUCAGGAUGGAUAAAAGGUGUGGAAAUGAACC
This 698-nucleotide long non-coding RNA is filed under the name Cucumis sativus (cucumber). RNAcentral's name for it is "long non-coding RNA (CSAT_LNC002230)". The record is from RNAcentral. Lineage: Eukaryota; Viridiplantae; Streptophyta; Magnoliopsida; Cucurbitales; Cucurbitaceae.